This 397-nucleotide ribosomal RNA is filed under the name uncultured bacterium. Its description in RNAcentral is "partial 16S ribosomal RNA". It matches the Rfam family "Bacterial small subunit ribosomal RNA", at positions 523 to 918 of the family's 1533-position model. The record is from RNAcentral.
AUACGUAGGGGGCGAGCGUUGUCCGGAAUGAUUGGGCGUAAAGGGCGCGUAGGCGGCUUUGCAAGUCAGUAGUGGAAGUCCAUUUUUCAAGGAUGGAAGUGCUACAGAAACUGCGGAGCUUGAGUGCAGGAGAGGUUAUCGGAAUUCCCGGUGUAGCGGUGAAAUGCGUAGAGAUCGGGAGGAAUACCAGUGGCGAAGGCGGGUAACAGGACUGCACCUGGCGCUGAGGCGCGAAAGUGUGCAGAGCAAAAAGGAAGAGAUACCCUGGUAGUCCAGAUUGUAAACGAUGAUUGCUAAGUGUAGGAGGUAUCGAGCCUUUCUGUGCCUCAGUAACCACAGUAAGCAUUCCGCCUGGGGAGUACGGUCGCAAGAUGAAAACUCAAAGGAAUUGACGGGG